Amphiprion ocellaris (clown anemonefish) is the source of this 2465-nucleotide long non-coding RNA. NCBI's taxonomy places the organism in Eukaryota, Metazoa, Chordata, Actinopteri, Pomacentridae. The record is from Ensembl.
ACCAUGGCAACCAGACCUGAGGCUGUUCUUAUAAACUCACCUGCUUCUCUGAAACUGAACCAGUGUGACGACAACCCUGGAGGAACGUGCUUCAGUUUGGAGGCUGGACGUGAUGCGACUGUUUUUCCAUUUAGUGCAUCUUCUUCUGCUGGAAACUGAAAGUACUUGAGGGCUGGAAAUUUACAUCCUUUGACAGCCGCCUCGUUUCAUUCCCACGUGAGAUCGGAGGCGAAAAGGUGAGACGUUCACAGAGUCGUAGAAGCAAACAUCAGAGAGAGAUAAGAAUCACUCAGCUGUGACAUUAAACACUUGACCUGGAAUCAUCGGAGCACUGAAAGGAAACAUGUAGCGAUGAUGUCAUCUGACAAACCGGUUUCCUGACAAGAAAUCAAACACGACAGCUCAAAGACUGAAGACGUCUGAGGGAGUCGCUGACAGAACGCUGCCGUGAGUUCAACAGGUGGAUCAGAACUCACCUGGACUCUGACAGCCAAUCAGAGAGUUCAACAGGUGGAUCAGAGCUCACCUGGACUCUAACAGCCAAUCAGAGAGUUCAACAGGUGGAUCAGAGCUCACCUGGACUCUAACAGUCAAUCAGAGAGUUCAACAGGUGGAUCAGAGCUCACCUGGACUCUAACAGCCAAUCAGAGACUCCGGCAUAAACAGCAGAGCAACGCUUCAAUCGUUUCCGGUGUCUGUGAUGAACUGUUGUUUCUCUGACAGUGAGGAGAUGAUGUGCAGGAUUCUGCUGCUGCUCAGCUUCAGCUCCAGUGUCUCUGGAGUCCUGUCCUUUAACAAGGCUUUACACUAUGAGGCUGAGGAGAACAGCAACGUCACCGUGGAGUGGAGCUUCGCCUUGACAACCGGCCUCAGCAUCUCCUCCCUGAAGAUCCACUGUUUGCUGCUCCCUGACCUGCAGGUGUUUUAUCACCUGGACCACAGCGUGGAGGAGCCUCAGCACCAGCGGUUUGCUGGACGGGUCCAAUGCGACACAGAGGCUCUGACUGCAGGACGAGUCCGGCUGCUUCUGUCCAGGACCAGGACAGACGACUCGGGCCGCUACCUGUGCAGGAUGGUCACCGGGUUUGGCAAGGAGGUCAGAGAGUUCUGGCUCAACGUCACCGCUGCAACAGUCAGAACCACACCUGAACCUCCCAGUGCGGUCAGAACCUUGCUGCUGGUUGCCAUGGCAGCAGGGGUGGUGGUUCUGUUGACCUCCUGCUGCCUGGUGCUCCACUGACGUCCGAUCUGAGUCUAACGAGGAUCUGGCGCCCUCUUGCUGCUCCAGAAGGAACCUGCAGGUGAGUCACACCUGGCUCUGCUGCAGAAGCUUCACCGCAGAGUUGUGGUUCUGGACCGACCCGGUUCCGUGGAGGCGGGACCGCAGCGUUCUUGUUUACCUGCCUGGAGGAGCUCUUGAAGCUCAGGUGAUCACAGAUGUUCUCGCUGAUGUUUAAAAGUGAAACCGGUUUACGGGGACUUUGGUGUAAAUGUGAAUGUUUUCAGACAGAAUUCACUAAAUCUGUUCCUCAACUUUCUGUGAUCCUCUUCGGUUUACGUUUUCCAUAUCUGGGUUUUCACGUGUUGGUUAAAUAAACGUUGCAGUAACCGUUCUGUAAUCUUCAUGUCAGUGGAUCAUGGAUUGUAAAUACAUAAAGUAAUGAUACAAGUCUUCACCUGAAUAAUCAACACUGACUUUAUGUUUUGGAAUAUUUAUACUUUGUCUGUCGAUAAAUGUACUUUUUUUCUUUUAAAUAUUAAAAAAAAUGCUUUUAUUGCAAGUAGUGCUUUUAUUUUCAGGCUACAUUUCUCUUUUAAUGCUGCAGUAAGGGGACCAAGCAAACAUACACGAGGAUUUGUUUUGAUAGUUGCCUUUUUUUUGUUGCAUGAAUAAAAACCAGAUUUGGUGUUUAGAGUGUGUCACCUGGAGUGGAUGUAAAACUGGUCUGGUGUCAGUUUUAACCAGAACUCUGAUGUGUUUGUCUUCCUAAAAUGCCAUGUGUCUGACUCCUCGUCACACUUUGAAUCAGAAAACAAAGAUUAUGACUUCUUGAUGAACAACAUCCUCAUCUUCGGGACAUUUUAUAUACACAAAUGCAAAUCCAUGAUGGUAAAUCCUAGAUUUUAUGUGUUUCAUGAGGAGUUUCUGUCCUUCACUAAAGCCCUUAAAAAUGAAGUCUAAACAUGCAAUGAAACUGUUCAAUGUGAUUGAGAAUUACGAUCUGCAAAAAAACGCCUUAGCUCUAUGUUUUGUUCUGUUUUAUUUAUAUUUAUUUAUUUUUUUUCCUUUUUUGCUUUGAUUCUAUUUCAUUCUCUGACUGCGCUUCAUAUAAUUUUCAAGAACUGCCUCUUUUAAUAGAUUUAUAUAAUAUUUUACUGCACUGGAAGCACCUGUUCGUUAUAAAAAAUGCCUUUGUAGAGACUGUAUUCUACAGUGUUUUGUUAAAUGAUUUUGUCAAUAAAGG